AGUGAACGCUGGCGGUAGGCCUAACACAUGCAAGUCGAACGGCAGCACAGUAAGAGCUUGCUCUUACGGGUGGCGAGUGGCGGACGGGUGAGGAAUACAUCGGAAUCUACUUUUUCGUGGGGGAUAACGUAGGGAAACUUACGCUAAUACCGCAUACGACCUACGGGUGAAAGCAGGGGAUCUUCGUACCUUGCGCGAUUGAAUGAGCCGAUGUCGGAUUAGCUAGUUGGCGGGGUAAAGGCCCACCAAGGCGACGAUCCGUAGCUGGUCUGAGAGGAUGAUCAGCCACACUGGAACUGAGACACGGUCCAGACUCCUACGGGAGGCAGCAGUGGGGAAUAUUGGACAAUGGGCGCAAGCCUGAUCCAGCCAGACCGCGUGGGUGAAGAAGGCAUUCGGGUUGUAAAGCACUUUUGUUGGGAAAGAAAAGCAGCAGGUUAAUACCCCGCUGUUCUGACGGUACCCAAAGAAUAAGCACCGGCUAACUUCGUG
Molecule: ribosomal RNA, 492 nt
Filed under: uncultured bacterium
Lineage: Bacteria
Description: partial 16S ribosomal RNA
Rfam family: Bacterial small subunit ribosomal RNA
Source: RNAcentral